AGCGUUGCUCGGAAUCACUGGGCGUAAAGCGCACGUAGGCGGAUUGUUAAGUCAGGGGUGAAAUCCUGGAGCUCAACUCCAGAACUGCCUUUGAUACUGGCGAUCUCGAGUCCGGGAGAGGUGAGUGGAACUGCGAGUGUAGAGGUGAAAUUCGUAGAUAUUCGCAAGAACACCAGUGGCGAAGGCGGCUCACUGGCCCGGUACUGACGCUGAGGUGCGAAAGCGUGGGGAGCAAACAGG
RNAcentral lists this ribosomal RNA (240 nucleotides) under uncultured bacterium. Its description in RNAcentral is "partial 16S ribosomal RNA". It matches the Rfam family "Bacterial small subunit ribosomal RNA", at positions 537 to 776 of the family's 1533-position model. The record is from RNAcentral.